GUCGAACGAGAAAGCCCUUCGGGGUUAGUAAAGUGGCGAACGGGUGAGUAACACGUGGGCAAUCUGCCCUUCGUUGGGGGACAACCGGGGGAAACCCCGGCUAAUACCCCGUAAGCUUGUCGGGUCACAUGGCCUGACAAGGAGAGGUAGCUUCGGCCAUCCGGCGAAGGAGGAGCCCGCGGUACAUUAGCUAGUUGGUGAGGUAACGGCUCACCAAGGCUACGAUGUAUAGCUGGUCUGAGAGGAUGAUCAGCCACACUGGGACUGAGACACGGCCCAGACUCCUACGGGAGGCAGCAGUCGGGAAUCUUGCACAAUGGGCGAAAGCCUGAUGCAGCAACACCGUGUGAGCGAUGAAGGCCCUAGGGUCGUAAAGCUCUGUUUGCGAGGACGAAGGGCGAAGGGUUAAUAGCCCUUAGCCUGACGGUACUUGUACAGAAAGCCCCGGCUAACUACGUGCCAGCAGCCGCGGUAAUACGUAGGGGGCGAGCGUUGUCCGGAAUUAUUGGGCGUAAAGAGCGUGUAGGCGGCUUGGUAAGUCUGCUGUGAAACCUUGGGGCUCAACCCCAAGCGUGCAGUGGAUACUGUCAAGCUAGAGGAUGGUAGAGGCCAGUGGAAUUCCCAGUGUAGCGGUGAAAUGCGCAGAUAUUGGGAGGAACACCAGUAGCGAAGGCGGCUGGCUGGGCCAUUCCUGACGCUGAGACGCGAAAGCUAGGGGAGCGAACAGGAUUAGAUACCCUGGUAGUCCUAGCUGUAAACGAUGAACACUAGGUGUGGGGGGAGUCGAAUCCCUCCGUGCCGAAGCCAACGCGUUAAGUGUUCCGCCUGGGGAGUACGGCCGCAAGGCUAAAACUCAAAAGAAUUGACGGGGGCCCGCACAAGCAGCGGAGCAUGUUCUUUAAUUCGAUGCAACGCGAAGAACCUUACCUGGACUUGACAUGGCACUGCAGCGCACGGAAACGUGUGACCUUCGAGG
This 976-nucleotide ribosomal RNA is filed under the name uncultured Actinomycetes bacterium. Its description in RNAcentral is "bacterial SSU rRNA". It matches the Rfam family "Bacterial small subunit ribosomal RNA", at positions 61 to 1022 of the family's 1533-position model. Lineage: Bacteria; Bacillati; Actinomycetota; Actinomycetes. The record is from RNAcentral.